AGGAUAGAGCAGAAGCCUAAGAAAGGAUGACUGACAGAGAAACAAGUGAUACAGCUCUGACUGACCGAGAUACAGGUGAUACAGCUCUGACUGACAGAGAUACAGGUGAUACAGCUCUGACUGACAGAGAUACAGGUGAUACAGCUCUGACUGACAGAGAUACAGGUGAUACAGCUCUGACUGACAGAGAUACAGGUGAUACAGCUCUGACUGACAGAGAUACAGGUGAUACAGCUCUGACUGACAGAGAUACAGGUGAUACAGCUCUGACUGACAGAGAUACAGGUGAUACAGCUCUGACUGACAGAGAUACAGGUGAUACAGCUCUGACUGACAGAGAUACAGGUGAUACAGCUCUGACUGACAGAGAUACAGGUGAUACAGCUCUGACUGACAGAGAUACAGGUGAUACAGCUCUGACUGACAGAGAUACAGGUGAUACAGCUCUGACUGA
This is a long non-coding RNA of Acomys russatus (golden spiny mouse), 454 nucleotides long. RefSeq lists it as uncharacterized. Lineage: Eukaryota; Metazoa; Chordata; Mammalia; Rodentia; Muridae. The record is from RefSeq and is a predicted model, not a curated record. The transcript has 4 exons.